This 693-nucleotide ribosomal RNA is filed under the name Rhynchocyon cirnei reichardi. RNAcentral's name for it is "partial 12S ribosomal RNA". It matches the Rfam family "Bacterial small subunit ribosomal RNA", at positions 189 to 1269 of the family's 1533-position model. The record is from RNAcentral. Lineage: Eukaryota; Metazoa; Chordata; Mammalia; Macroscelidea; Macroscelididae.
UGAAAAUGCCCUUUAAACCACUUUUUGGUAUCAAGGAGCUGGUAUCAAGCACACUACACAGUAGCUCAUAACACCUUGCACAGCCACACCCCUACGGGAAACAGCAGUAACAAAAAUUAAGCAAUAAACGAAAGUUCGACUAAGUUAUGCUAAUUAGGGCUGGUCAACUUCGUGCCAGCCACCGCGGUCAUACGAACAGCCCAAAUUAAUAGAACCCGGCGUAAAGAGUGGUUAUGAUAUUCAUAUACUAAAGUUAAAUUUAACCUUAGCUGUAAAAAGCUAAAGGUCUAAAAUUAAAUACUCUACGAAAGUGACUUUAACAAAUCAGAAUCCACGAUAGCUAAGAUACAAACUGGGAUUAGAUACCCCACUAUGCCUAGCCUUAAACCUAGUUAAUUAGUAACAAAAUUACUCGCCAGAGAACUACGAGCAAAAGCUUAAAACUCAAAGGACUUGGCGGUGCUUUAUAUCCACCUAGAGGAGCCUGUUGUAUAAUCGAUAAACCCCGCUAAACCCUACCAUCAUUUGCUAAUCCAGUCUAUAUACCGCCAUCUUCAGCAAACCCUUAAAAGGAAUCAAAGUAAGCUUAAUUAUACUUAAUAAAAACGUUAGGUCAAGGUGUAACUUAUAUGAUGGAAACUAAUGGGCUACAUUCUCUUUAAAAGAGUACUACGAACACCCUUAUGAAAAGUA